RNAcentral lists this small RNA (29 nucleotides) under Bombyx mori (domestic silkworm). Its description in RNAcentral is "ovarian small RNA-29493". Lineage: Eukaryota; Metazoa; Arthropoda; Insecta; Lepidoptera; Bombycidae. The record is from RNAcentral.
UCUAGGUUGCCCAUCAUGCAGCCUGUGGU